Molecule: ribosomal RNA, 404 nt
Filed under: uncultured bacterium
Lineage: Bacteria
Description: bacterial SSU rRNA
Rfam family: Bacterial small subunit ribosomal RNA
Source: RNAcentral
GGGGAUAUUGCACAAUGGGGGGAACCCUGAUGCAGCGACGCCGCGUGAGUGAAGAAGUAAUUCGUUAUGUAAAGCUCUAUCAGCAGGGAAGAAUAAAUAACGGUACCUGAGUAAGAAGCCCCGGCUAACUACGUGCCAGCAGCCGCGGUAAUACGUAGGGGGCAAGCGUUAUCCGGAUUUACUGGGUGUAAAGGGAGCGUAGACGGCGAUGCAAGCCAGAUGUGAAAGCCCGCGGCUCAACUGCGGUAGUGCAUUUGGAACUGUAUGGCUGGAGUGCAGGAGAGGCAGGCGGAAUUCCUAGUGUAGCGGUGAAAUGCGUAGAUAUUAGGAGGAACACCAGUGGCGAAGGCGGCCUGCUGGACUGUAACUGACGUUGAGGCUCGAAAGCGUGGGGAGCAAACAGG